UAACACGUAAGUAAUCUACCUUCGGAUGGGGAAUAACAGUCGGAAACGACUGCUAAUACCGCAUAAUGCAGCGGCACCUAAUGGUGACAGUUGUUAAAGUAUUUAUACGUCUGGAGAGGAGCUUGCGGCAGAUUAGCUAGUUGGUAAGGUAAUGGCUUACCAAGGCUACGAUCUGUAGCCGACCUGAGAGGGUGGUCGGUCACACUGACACUGAAUAACGGGUCAG
RNAcentral lists this ribosomal RNA (226 nucleotides) under uncultured bacterium. Its description in RNAcentral is "partial 16S ribosomal RNA". It matches the Rfam family "Bacterial small subunit ribosomal RNA", at positions 111 to 334 of the family's 1533-position model. The record is from RNAcentral.